Cyprinodon variegatus (sheepshead minnow) is the source of this 3108-nucleotide long non-coding RNA. RefSeq lists it as uncharacterized. The transcript is spliced from 3 exons. The record is from RefSeq and is a predicted model, not a curated record. NCBI's taxonomy places the organism in Eukaryota, Metazoa, Chordata, Actinopteri, Cyprinodontiformes, Cyprinodontidae.
GUUGAUGAGCUGCAUUUAUUGAUUGAAUGGGACUCUGUGCAUCCCACAUUUUUGCGCAUAUAACCAACACUCAGAAACUCUGUCACAAACCUUCCAACGCUCAUAGAAAAGAAAAAUAUUAUUUAUGUAACUUAUCGGUUUCAUUGGUUAACUAAAAUUAUAAAGAUGUGAAUAGAUGAGUGGAUUAAUUGAGCAAAAAUAAUUAUAAAAAAAAGCUACUCUCCCAGUUUUUUUUUUAUGUAGAUGUCUCACAAAAGCACAAUCUCUGGGUUAGCAUUAAAUGUUACCAUGGAAAUAUAGUUUUUCUAAAACUUUUUUUUAAAAGAGCAAUAAUUAAUUCGAAAAAGGAAUAUUGAUGUGAAGAAUGAAAGGUAUCUGUUUAGAUGGCGUCACAUGCCCUUUAUCUGUGCUUUAUUCCAUUGUCUUGUUCAGAAGCUGAGCCUGCCGCUAGUUCAUGUACUUCCAUUUGAAUAGCUCUCUCAGGGCGUAGCGCCUCCCUGUCCAAAAAAGGCCAGCAGCAGCGUAAAGCAUCUGACCAACUGCUUUCGAUUGCUUUUGCAGGAGAGCUACUCAUACUGCCGUCAUAGUGUAAUUACUUUACUAACUUAACAGUCUACUAAUGCCAUUAGCCGCAAACAUACAGUUUGAUGCAAAUAGUGAAACAGUUUUUCAAUGGCACAAUUACUCAGUUAUUAACAAACAGUAGAACAUUUGCCAAAAAAAAAAGUUCUAACUAACAGAAUUAUAGUUAUGAGUAUCCACUUAACAUUUUCCUCCCAAAAGUGAUGUUAGUUUACCGUGUAUUUGACCUUUGCAUAGAUCACACGAGUUUGGAAGGGAGGGCGAGUCAGGAUGGAGUUGCAGCUGGACUGGUGGUAGAGAGAGACAUGGCUUUUCACACAUCUUGUUUUGGUCUAUAGACAGUGCUUAACGGUUUACCUUGUGUUAAACUUCCUUUAUGCAUCUGCAUUCAGUGACGAUUUAUUCAGUUGAGGUUUAAUACAUUUCCUGGAAACAAAUGAAUCUCACCUCCAGGGUGUAGUUUUCAUUUUGGCGUGGUUGUAGAGUCCCUACAAACCACGUCACUCUGGGUAGAAAGACUUUUUUCUUUAUAAAUAAAAAACAAUCAACAAAGAAGCCAAUUAGCCACUCAGAACAGGCAUGAAAAUAGAGUAAAAUGAUGUAAUGUAAUCUUCUAGUCCAGAGCUCACCUGAUUUUUUCUAUAUCUGCAGUAAGGAACAGUGGAAAACACCUGGAUUUGAGACAGACAAGUACCAGUUUAUCUAACCCACUGUUAGAAAAUUGAAGCAAAAUGUGGCAUCUUGGUGUCAACAAGCUUUUCUGAAUAUUUGCUUUAACUUCUCCAGAUAUCUUUAUCAUGUAUAGAUCGGUUGUUGCAACCUCACAUAAGGAACAGUCAAAGUCAGGCCAGGGUCAAAUGCAGUUACAGAUUACUGUACAUAAAAAAGGUCAAAAUAUUCCCUUUCAUAAUCAUCCUCCUUGUUUGGUUGAACGUUUGUUUAAGGACUUCCCAGUGCUUUAUGCAUACUUCACACAUUGGUGAACAGUGGCAGCAGCCUGCCUUCAUUUGUCCAGGACCAUCGCUAUCCAGUGGGAGACUUAAUUGCACCUGAAGUCUAAGUAAAGCCUGGUCGGCACAACGGGUCUUUGAUCUGACUUGAAAGGAGUUAAUUGAUUUCUGUGUUGCAAGGAGUGUUCCAGGGGUGAGACCGAGAAAGGGAGAGAAAAGAUGUUUGCUGGUCAUUUCACAACAUGUGGCGAAUAUCUGCAAGAGAAAGAUUGGGGGGGGGGGAUGGAGGGAUGAAGAGAGAGAUCACCUCACACCCGACUCCAUCCCUGUACAAUUACAGUAAUGUGACUCACAUGGGCCGACCGCCUUGGCAGAAAAAGGAAGAAAAAGGGGGAGGAAGAAAAGGGGUUCCCUGCUCUGGGACAUCACUCAUCUUACCUCCAGCUGAAGUAUGGAAAGACGCGUAUGAUGAGCGGCUUCCUUCUAAGUGCAGCUCAGGGGCUUGUUAAGGCGGCGGUAUGGUGAAGACCACACGUCCAACGUUUUGCUUCCAGACUCAGUCAGGGUUUCUAACACUUAAUGACAUCAACAGCCAACGAAAACCAUCUGAGGCUCUGCUCAUUGUUGUUGCAUGCUCCUCAUGAAGCUUGACAGGAAGAUGCUUCUUCUGGAAAAUGAACAUGAGAUGGACCUGUUCGUUCCUGCGUUCUUCUUCGCCCUCCAAGGCAUCAUCAAAGAUGUGCAACUCUGAUGAGCAACAACUCAGCUCACCAUGUGUCCUCCUGCUAAUCACACUCCCAGAGAAGAAAAGGAGGGAGGAGGAGGUGGGGAGGAAGCAGGAGCAGAGGAAGAAGGAAUAAAAGACAAGAAUAUAUAGGAUGAGUAGUCAGCCUGUCUCCAGCCUGGACACACACACAUGCACAUGUAGAUGGCGUUAAUACCUGUGCCGGCAAUGAGCUUCAUUCGGAUGACCAUAUGACAAGAUGGCGACUGUGUGAUUUGGAUAGUGUGUGACAGAAGACAGAGGCAGAGUGCAGAACAGACACCCGGUUUGAUGAGGGAGUGUUUGCUCUGUAACACAUCUCAAACCCAACAGCACCUGUUCUUUUACAGUGGUCUGUCACUUCCUGGCAGUUCUGAUACCAAGAUACCGUGCUAAUGAGAGAGAAGGGGGGUUGUCACUCUUAAGCACACACACACACACCCCCACACACACACAUAUAGAGACAUGCGUACUCUUUUUGUCUCUCGUUUUCACAAAUACUAGAGCUGUAAAAAGAAGGAGCUGCGUACAGAUGAUUUUCUUCCUACAGAUGCCUGUAGGCUACAGUAUUUCAUCAGAAAUAGGGAGAAUUUUGUAGUUCUCUAUUUUAUGUAUGUAUAUGUCACUUUUUUUUUUUUUUUAUAUAGGGGUGAUUGAAAGAUUGAAAAGAAACUGAACAUAAAUGUUAAUUAAAGGGUUUUUUAAGUCAGGUUGUGUUCAAAUAUUAUAGCCCCUUAAUUUCUUAUGGUGGUGGAUAACCUCCUCUGUGUCAGAGACAGAGCAGCUAGGCCUCAUCGGACUAUACUGUCUAAA